CCCUUAGAUGUUCUGGGCCGCACGCGUGCUACACCGAGUGGAUCAGCGGGUCAGGUUGCGCGAAAGUGUUUCCUAAUCUUUAAAUCCGCUCGUGAUGGGGAUUGACGGUUGCAAUUUUCCGUCAUGAACGAGGAAUACCUUGUAAGCGCGGGUCAUCAUCCCGCGCUGAAUACGUCCCUGCCCUUUGUACACACCGCCCGUCGCUCCUACCGAUUGAGUGGUCCGGUGAGGCUUUGGGAUCUGGGCGGAAAGAGCGUUUCGCUGUUUCUGCCCGGAAAACUCAGUCGAACCUUAUCAUUUAGAGGAAGGAGAAGUCGUAACA
Molecule: ribosomal RNA, 322 nt
Filed under: uncultured eukaryote
Lineage: Eukaryota
Description: partial 18S ribosomal RNA
Rfam family: Eukaryotic small subunit ribosomal RNA
Source: RNAcentral